UGGCCUAGUCUUUACGUCGUUUUUUGUCGCCACAUUGUGCUGUGGGUGAGCGCACAGACCGCGUGCAAUUUGUGCACAAAGCCGCCAGCCUGUUGAGCUCUGCUUGAGCAGCCUUUACGGACCACCUGCAAUGACUCCUGCAAAUGAUUCGAUUUAACAGUGAUGAAAAAUGACUUGGGGCGGGGUUUAAGGUCGUUUUGAGCUCCUCAUCAUACCGGGUUCUACUGUACAUACCAUGAUGGAGAUCUUGAAAGUAUUGCUGUGCCAAAAUACGUGAAACUGGUCUAAAAGUGGAUGUAGACACUUGUUUCACGGUUCUUUUGUCAAGUGGGAAAGAUGGACCCUAGUGCAUCCUGUGAUCUGAUCAUUUGGGCCCAUUUGCUGCUGGCUGUGGCUUCCUCUUCCUCCUCCUCUUCAUCCCCAUAUGCCACUGCAAUCACAAUGAUUUCCACUGAGAAAGAGGGAAAGAAGAUGGUGCAACGUUGUCUCUUUGCUAUGAACCAUUCAAUUGAUUAUAUUUGAUACACUUUAACUGUAACACCAUGUAUCUAGUUGAAAUAGCCUAAUUCUCACUCUCUUCAUUUCAUCAACAUACUGGCUUUAUGAAUAUGAUUCAUGUCAUUACUCUAAUAAAUGGAGAUGUAUUGAUUAAAACUAAGUUUAUAA
This is a long non-coding RNA of Salvelinus fontinalis (brook trout), 666 nucleotides long. RefSeq lists it as uncharacterized. Lineage: Eukaryota; Metazoa; Chordata; Actinopteri; Salmoniformes; Salmonidae. The record is from RefSeq and is a predicted model, not a curated record. The transcript is spliced from 3 exons.